UGCCAGCCGCCGCGGUAAUACGUAGGGUGCAAGCGUUGUUCGGAAUUAUUGGGCGUAAAGCGUAUGUAGGUGGAUUUGUAAGUCGGGUGUGAAAUCCCACAGCUUAACUGUGGAACUGCGCUCGAAACUAUGAGUCUAGAGGAAGGUAGAGGCAGGUGGAAUACCAGGUGUAGAGGUGAAAUUCGUAGAUAUCUGGUGGAACACUCGUGGCGAAGGCGGCCUGCUGGACCUCUCCUGACACUGAGAUACGAAAGCGUGGGGAGCAAACAGGAUUAGAUA
RNAcentral lists this ribosomal RNA (279 nucleotides) under uncultured bacterium. Its description in RNAcentral is "partial 16S ribosomal RNA". It matches the Rfam family "Bacterial small subunit ribosomal RNA", at positions 506 to 784 of the family's 1533-position model. The record is from RNAcentral.